RNAcentral lists this ribosomal RNA (1471 nucleotides) under metagenome. RNAcentral's name for it is "bacterial SSU rRNA". It matches the Rfam family "Bacterial small subunit ribosomal RNA". The record is from RNAcentral.
AGAGUUUGAUCCUGGCUCAGGAUGAACGCUGGCGGCGUGCCUAAUACAUGCAAGUCGAACGAGAACAAUCGGAUCUUCGGAACUGAGAAAUUCUAGUGGCGAACGGGUGAGUAACGCGUUGGUGACCUGCCCCGAAGAGGGGGAUAACAGUUCGAAAGGACUGCUAAUACCCCAUGAGCUCAUGAGAGUUAGAGGUCUUGUGAGGAAAAGGAGAAAUCCGCUUUGGGAGGGGCCUGCGUCCCAUCAGCUAGUUGGUAGGGUAAAAGCCUACCAAGGCGAUGACGGGUAGGGGACCUGAGAGGGUGGCCCCCCACAAUGGAAAAAACACGGUCCAUACACCUACGGGUGGCAGCAGUAGGGAAUAUUGCUUAAUGGACGAAAGUCUGAAGCAGCAACGCCGCGUGUGCGAUGAAGGCCUUCGGGUUGUAAAGCACUUUUUGUAGGGAUGAGGAAGGACAGUACCUGCAGAAUAAGCCUCGGCUAACUACGUGCCAGCAGCCGCGGUAAAACGUAGGAGGCGAGCGUUAUCCGGAUUUACUGGGCGUAAAGCGCGUGUAGGCGGAUUACUAAGUUGGCUGUGAAAGCUCCUGGCUUAACUAGGAGAGGUCGGUCAAUACUGGUAGUCUAGAGUAUGUGAGGGGGAGGUGGAAUUCCGGGUGUAGUGGUGAAAUGCGUAGAUAUCCGGAGGAACACCAGAGGCGAAAGCGGCCUCCUGGCACAUGACUGACGCUCAGACGCGAAAGCUAGGGGAGCAAACGGGAUUAGAGACCCCGGUAGUCCUAGCUGUAAACGAUGUAGACUUGGCGUUGGUGGGGUCAAACCCAUCAGUGCCGGAGCUAACGCAUUAAGUCUACCGCCUGGGGACUACGGCCGCAAGGUUAAAACUCAAAGGAAUUGACGGGGACCCGCACAAGCAGCGGAGCGUGUGGUUUAAUUCGAUUUACACGAAGAACCUUACCAGGGUUUGACAUGCAAGUGGUAGUGAAGCGAAAGCAGAACGACCCCUCGGGGAGCUUGCACAGGUGCUGCAUGGCUGUCGUCAGCUCGUGUCGUGAGAUGUUCGGUUAAGUCCGCUAACGAGCGCAACCCUCGUCGUGUGUUACAAGUGUUACGCGAGACCGCCGGUCAUAAACCGGAGGAAGGUGGGGAUGACGUCAAGUCAGCAUGGCCUUUAUGUCCUGGGCUACACACACGCUACAAUGGCCAGUACAAUUGGUAGCGAAGUCGCGAGGCGGAGCCAAUCCGUAAAAGCUGGCCCCAGUUCAGAUUGUAGGCUGCAACCCGCCUGCAUGAAGAUGGAGUUGCUAGUAACCGCAGGUCAGCAAUACUGCGGUGAAUACGUUCCCGGGUCUUGUACACACCGCCCGUCACGUCAUGGGAGCUGGCAAUGCCUGAAGCCGGUAUUCUAACCCGCAAGGGAGGGAGCCGUCAAAGGCAGGGUCGGUAACUGGGACGAAGUCGUAACAAGGUA